CCCUCCCUUUCACCCUUCCUGCUUCACAGGGUUGUGCUGGCAAAAAAUAACAGUGGAGAUAAAGCUGGUCCUGGAGUACCGGUAUUCACCAUUCAAUUAAGUACUGAAGUUACAACAGCGCUGAAAAAGCUGGUUUAUGAUUGGUCUUCCUGGUUAUAACAAGGACCAUGUAAUCAAAUUUGGGCACUUGGCCACUGGAAAUGAAGCAGGAGAGUUGCUCCAGAUGACCUCCCUGGAAUGAAGAUGUCCUCCUUAGACCCUCUGCCUCCCGCCACGCCUCCCUCUCAGAAACCCACUCGCAUUAUCAAGCCACGCCCACCCACCAGGCCACGUCCUUACCUGCCCCCCAGGCCAGACUCUGCCAAGCUGCUCCAGGUCCCUACCCCUCCUUUGCCUCUGGAGAAGGACGGGUGCUCUCUGGCCACCGAACACUCAGGCGGCCUACCUCAACCCUUGCACAAGCUGCAGAAAUCUGGCGCUGUUCGCAAGAUUGUGGUCCAUUUUGAUCAAAUGGGUCCUCCGGAAAAGGAGGAAGCUGAAAAAAUUAUCCGGUCGCUGCCUUCCAGCUGCCAGAAGGAUGAGAACAAGGAAGAAAAAGCCAUUGGAAAACAAGAGAUCCCGGAUCGGUUGGAUCCUUGCAAGGAUACCCAGCCAUCAGUAUUAUCUGAGGUGGAGCAAAACGGACUGGAUUUUCCCACUUCCUGCCUGUCUGGCUGCCCCUGUGUUUGCCAUCAGCAGAACCCAGGCAUGGUCUUGGUUUGGGUCCCUGCAACGUCCCAGCUGCAGGAUACGGAGAAUGGGUUGGCUGCGGAUCUAUCAUCGUCUGCUGAUGAAGGGGGAGCCUCCUUCCAAAAAUUCUCAGGACUUGGUGCCCUGCCUGCCCCACCUUCCUCCACCGCAGCGGCCAGGGUCCCAAAAUCUCGCCGUUCAUCCCGAAGCAAAAAGCCCCUGGACUCCCCACCGUCCACCAACGGGCACCCCGAAGGAGGUGUCGUCCUGACAAGCUACCGUUCCACAGCCGAGCUCCUUCCUCAACGCUGCCCGCCUUUGAUGCCCAAGCCGCCCCGUCGCAACAAAGGGAGUGCCUCUGUCUCUCUGGAUGGCGAGCUCCUACCUCCGGCCAUCCCACCCAAAGCCCCCAUGAAACCACCUCGCAGCUCCUUGGGGCCCUCGGCUCGCAGGAGUUCUCUCCAAUACCCGCUUGAGUUGAACCACCUUCCUGGCCGAGUCUCCCCUUUUGCUGUUGGGGAAGGCUUCGUCAUGUUGCCUCCCCC
RNAcentral lists this long non-coding RNA (1274 nucleotides) under Laticauda laticaudata (blue-ringed sea krait). Its description in RNAcentral is "lncRNA (ENSLLTG00000015668.1)". Lineage: Eukaryota; Metazoa; Chordata; Lepidosauria; Squamata; Elapidae. The record is from RNAcentral.